Non-coding RNA from Acanthosepion pharaonis, 107 nucleotides. The record is from the annotation of a GenBank genome assembly. Lineage: Eukaryota; Metazoa; Mollusca; Cephalopoda; Sepiida; Sepiidae.
UAUGGCCAUAUCACGUUGAAAAAAGCGGUUUCUGUACAAUCACCGAAGUUAAGCAUCGUCUUUCCUGGUCAGUACCAAGGUGGGUGACCGCUUGAGAAUGCCAGGUG